GUCUUAUUGUGGCAUCAUCCUUCACUAUGGCUAUUGUUUUCUUUGGUUUCUUGAGAAUUAUUGGGAGGUUUAUCAGCCCUCUUGCAGCUAUUCCUCUGGUGAUUCUAACAGGACUUGGGCUCUAUGCGCAAGUUGGCGAGAUGCAUCGAAGUUAGACUCCCAGCAUUGGUACCAGCUGUUUUCUUAUCUCAGGUGACCUGCAUUCUUAACCCUUUUGUUACUAAGAACAUUCUUUGCUUUGCCAUUAUCAUGGACAUGUAACAUGAACUUUCCAUCUACAAUUAAGAGUAAGGCUUUGAAUUUUAAAGCCGAGUUGUAUUAUGCAUGUAUCAUUUACAUUCUUUGGGUAGAU
Long non-coding RNA from Hibiscus syriacus, 352 nucleotides. RefSeq lists it as uncharacterized. The record is from RefSeq and is a predicted model, not a curated record. The transcript is spliced from 3 exons. Lineage: Eukaryota; Viridiplantae; Streptophyta; Magnoliopsida; Malvales; Malvaceae.